Long non-coding RNA from Ornithorhynchus anatinus (platypus), 926 nucleotides. RefSeq lists it as uncharacterized. NCBI's taxonomy places the organism in Eukaryota, Metazoa, Chordata, Mammalia, Monotremata, Ornithorhynchidae. The record is from RefSeq and is a predicted model, not a curated record. The transcript has 3 exons.
ACAGGGCUUGGGGGGCCAUCAGUGGGCAACGGUGUGCCCUCGGCUGAGACUCGAUAAAGUUCCCCAGGUGGAAGAUGUAGAAUCGAGGGGCUCCUGCUUUCACUGGAAAAUGCUCUUUGGACAGAGCAGCAUUAGCUCAGAUCUCCUUUGUUCUCUCCCAAAUUUACAGGUGGAGGGCGACACGACCUCUUCAACUGCCCCACCGUCCAGCAGUGAAAAUUAGCUGCAACAAAUGAUGCCAUCCGCUUUGAAUGUGUUAAAACUCCUGAAGAAGUUCUGGAAGAGAAAAACCUGAAACCACCUUCCCCACAGGACUCCCUAAAGACUGACAUUUUUGCCUGCUUGGUAGCCUCGGGAUUCCUGCUGAUCAUAGCUACAGUUUUCCAAAUUCUGAUUUUUUGUUAUGUUGAGUCAGUUUUUAUCCUACAACUGCCAAGGGAAGCAUUCUGCUAGGGGAAAGACCUGUUCAGCCAUACACCUUUGACUUUGCGUACCAUAACAGCUGAUUCCACAAGCUCAGUUUCCACUCUGGAAACUUUCAAAGAUGGCUCCAUUCCUCUGGGUUCUGUGCCUACUUUUGAGAAUGAACCAAGUUUAUGCCAAGAGGAGUAACCAAAAUGCCCUCCCAGUCUGGGGAUUUUGCAGCCAGGGCCAUGUGUUAGAGGCUGUCAAACCAGAGGUUGCCUGGAAUCACCAGUGUUACAUAGUAGGAUCACUUCGGGAGCUCCCCCCUAGUGUGGUGCUCUGUAUUAUAUUCUUGAAAAUUACAGAAUCGUGAAAUUUUACGAUCUCUGCCUAUGAGAAUUUAGGAUCCAGUUGCAAUUUUUUUUGUCAUUCCCCAUUAGAAUGGUCCAAGGGCAUAAAUGAGAAUACAUAUAUAUGAGUACUGAAAUUGAUUAUGAAUAAAUAAGUAAACACUAGAGUUA